Molecule: transfer RNA, 73 nt
Filed under: Botryobasidium botryosum FD-172 SS1
Lineage: Eukaryota; Fungi; Basidiomycota; Agaricomycetes; Cantharellales; Botryobasidiaceae
Description: tRNA-Met (CAT) (tRNA-Met-CAT-2-1)
Rfam family: tRNA
About the family: Transfer RNA (tRNA) molecules are approximately 80 nucleotides in length. Their secondary structure includes four short double-helical elements and three loops (D, anti-codon, and T loops). Further hydrogen bonds mediate the characteristic L-shaped molecular structure. tRNAs have two regions of fundamental functional importance: the anti-codon, which is responsible for specific mRNA codon recognition, and the 3' end, to which the tRNAs corresponding amino acid is attached (by aminoacyl-tRNA synthetases). tRNAs cope with the degeneracy of the genetic code in two manners: having more than one tRNA (with a specific anti-codon) for a particular amino acid; and 'wobble' base-pairing, i.e. permitting non-standard base-pairing at the 3rd anti-codon position.
Source: RNAcentral
GCUUCGUUGGCUCAGUUGGUAGAGCGUAGGUCUCAUAAUCCUAAGGUCGCAUGUUCGAAUCCUGCACGGAGCA